Oncorhynchus tshawytscha (Chinook salmon) is the source of this 2717-nucleotide long non-coding RNA. NCBI's taxonomy places the organism in Eukaryota, Metazoa, Chordata, Actinopteri, Salmoniformes, Salmonidae. The record is from Ensembl.
UACGUAGACACGUGGUUUCCACAUCAUCACCUACGAACGAGACGCUCCCCCAGUUUUGGUAAAAGUGACUCGAGAUAUCGUCACUUCACCGGUCGGCUCGCUCUCUCCCGUCUUUUCCAGUCACUUCCAAACCGUGAUUGGAGUUCUCCAUUGGGGGGAGAACAUAGGCUGAGGCUCACGCAGCAGAUACAUUGAAGUGCAGCGCUGCAGCAUUGAGCAGCAUUUUGUUGGCUAUAACCGCUCUCCGUGGACCUGACCUGCUCCACCCGCAUAGCACCAGCUCGACAUCCGGUGCUGAAAGGACAGCGCCAGGACCAGCAUCAUAUCAGUGGUGACGCAUUCUCCCAUUUUCCCUACAUGUUCUGCCAUAUAUAAUUAGUUUAGAUUCUAACUUUCGACAAGAGAGCCAUAUUGCCCAGCCUUGAACCCCCAAGAAAGGUUAAAUAAUAGCAAUAGAGCGGGUGAUAACUCUAUUCAUGCAAGGCACUACCGCUUUAUUUGAACAACGUUGUUUAGUCACUUCUCAGUGUUCAAGGCCAACACUUAGCGCUAUUACACAACACAUAAACAGCUCAGAACAUUGCAGCAGGUGAGAAGAGGUAAGAUAUUGCAUAGGAGGUCGGCUGUGGUGUGUAUUGAACCACCACAGUCAAAAUUCUUUUCCAUUUUCUUAAAAUGUGUUUCUAAAUAUAAGGUUAUAAUAUACAGUGCCUUGGGAAAGUAUUCACCCCCUUUGACUUUCCCCACAUUUUGUUGUGUUACAGCCGUAUUCUAAAAUGGAUUAAUAAAAAAUAAAAAAUCUACACACAAUACCUCCAUUGAUCAUCCUUGAGAUGUUUCUACAACUUGAUUGUAGUCCACCGGCGGUAAAUUCAAUUGAUUGGACAUGAUUUGGAAAGGCACACACCUGUCUAUAUAAGGUCCCACAGUUGACAGUGCAUGUCAGAGAAAAAAACAAGCCAUGAGGUCGAAGGAAUUGUCCGUAGAGCUCCGAGACAGGAUUGUGUAGAGGCACAGAUCUGGGGAAGGGUACCAAAAAAUGUCUGCAGCAUUGAAGGACUUCAAGAACACAGUGGUCUCCUCAUUUUUAAAUCAAAGAAGUUUGGAACCACCAAGGCCAAACUGAACAAUCCGGGGAGAAGGGCCUUGGUCAAGGAGGUGACCAAGAACCUGAUAGUAUUUUUCAGGUACAGGGACUGGGAGACUAGUCACGAUCGAGGGAAAGAUGAACGGAGCAAUGUACAGCGAGAUCCUUGAUGAAAACCUGCUCCAGAGUGCUCAGGACCUCAGAAUGGAGCAAGGGUUUACCUUCCAACAGGACAGCGACCCUAAGCACACAGCCAAGACAACGUAGGUGUGUCUUCCAGACAAGUCUCUGAAUGUCCUUGAGUGGCCCAGCCAGAGCCCAGACUUGAACCCAUGUCUGGAGAGACCUGAAAAUAGCUGUGCAGCAACGCUCCCCAUCCCACCUGACAGAGCUUGAGAGGAUCUGCAUAGGAGAAUGGGAGAAACCCCCCAAAUACAGGUAAUUGUGGAGACCAGGUCAUCUGAUGCAGCACUCCGUCACUCUCCUUCUUGGUCAAAUAGCCCUUACACAGCCUGGAGGUGUGUUGGGUCAAUGUCCCACUAAGCGCAAACCAGAUGGGAUGGCGUAUCACUACAGCCAUGCUGAUUAAGUGUGCCUUGAAUUCUAAAUAAAUCUCAGACAGUGUCACCAGCAAAGCACCCCCACAGCAUCACACCUCCUCCUCCAUGCUUCACGGUGGGAACCACACAUGCUGAGAUCAUCCGUUCACCUACUCUGAGUCUCACAAAGACACCGUGGUUGCAACCAAAAAUCGCAAAUUUGGACUCAUCAGAACAAAGAACGUAUCUCCACCGGUCUAAUGUCAAGUGCUCGUGUUUCUUGGCCCAAGUAAGUCUCUUCUUCUUAUUGGUGUCCUUUAGUAGUGAUUUCUUUGCAGCAAUUCAACCAUGAAGGCCUGAUUCCAGUGGUCUCCUCUGAGCAGUUGAUGUUGAGAUGUGUCUGUUGCUUGAACUCUGUGAAGCAUUUAUUUGGGCUGCAAUUUCUGAGGCUGGUAACUGUAAUGAUUUUAUCCUCUGCAGUAGAGGUAACUCUGGGUCUUCUUUUCCUGUGUCGGUCCUCAUGAGAGCCAGUUUCAUUACAACGAUGGUUUUUGCAACUGCGCUUGAAGAAACUUUCAAAGUUCUUGAAACUUUCCAUAUUGACUGACCUCCAUGUUUUAAAGUAAUGAUGGACUGUCGUUUCUCUUUGCUGAUUUGACCUGUUCUUGCCAUAAUAUGGACUUGGUCUUUUACCAAAUAGGGCUAUCUUCUGUAUACCACCCCUACCUUGUCACAACACAACUGAUUGGUUAUCUUCUGUAUACCACCCCUACCUUGUCACAACACAACUGAUUGGCUCAAACGCAUUAAGAAGGAAAGACAUUCCACAAAUGAACUUUUAACAAGGCACACCUGUUAAUUGCAAUGCAUUCCAGGUGACUACCUCAUGAAGCUGGUUGAGAGAAUGCCAAGAGUGUACAAAGCUGUCAUCAAGGCAAAGGGUGGCUACUUUGAGGAAUUUCAAAUGUAAAAUAUAUUUUGAUUUGUUUAACACUUGUUUGGUUACUACAUGAUUCCAUAUGUGUUAUUUCAUAGUUUUGAUGUCUCAUUAUUAUUCUACCAUGUAGAAAAUAGUAAAAAUAAAGAAAAAC